This 149-nucleotide unclassified non-coding RNA is filed under the name uncultured Phoma. Its description in RNAcentral is "sequence contains ITS2". The record is from RNAcentral. Lineage: Eukaryota; Fungi; Ascomycota.
GUACCCUCAAGCUCUGCUUGGUGUUGGGUGGUUGUCUCUGCUCUGCUUAGACUCGCCCUAAAUAUAUUGGCAGCCGGUAUAUUGGUUUGAAGCGCAGCACAAUUGCAAUUUGAGCCUAUAUUACUGGUAUCCAUUAAGCAAAUUAUCAC